AAACGAGCUGGAAGCACGGAAGGCUCCGUGCUUCCGAUAGCAUAGUAGCUUCACUCUAUAUAUAUAAUUAUACUAUAUAAUAAUAUAUAUAUAUAUAGAGAGAGAGAGAGAGAGAGACUACUAUGCUCUUAUGAGUAUAGAGCCUCUUGUACUCAUAAAUUUUUGACCAUUAGAUCUACCCAUUAAUCAUUUUCACCCGUUAGAUUAUACUAUUCAAUAAACCACCCACUCAACCCUAGGGGGCCCACUAUCACACUAACCGUAACUACUCUCAUCCUAACCCAUAUUUUUUCAUCCGAACGGUAUCAAACUUAUGAGUACAAAGGGCUCUAUACUCAUAUGAGUAUAGUAGCCCUAGCCUAUAUAUAUAUAUAUAUAUAUAUAUAUAUAUAU
Molecule: long non-coding RNA, 393 nt
Filed under: Ananas comosus (pineapple)
Lineage: Eukaryota; Viridiplantae; Streptophyta; Magnoliopsida; Poales; Bromeliaceae
Description: long non-coding RNA (ACOM_LNC029296)
Source: RNAcentral